AUAUUAGAUGAGAGUUAUUGUCGCCCCAGUCUUAAGUUGCGUCCAAUUUAUUGGAUAUGCAAGGUGGUGAUUGACACAGAAUAUCUGAUUC
This 91-nucleotide small nucleolar RNA is filed under the name Solanum lycopersicum (tomato). Its description in RNAcentral is "Small nucleolar RNA U31b". It matches the Rfam family "Small nucleolar RNA U31b". Lineage: Eukaryota; Viridiplantae; Streptophyta; Magnoliopsida; Solanales; Solanaceae. The record is from Rfam by way of RNAcentral.